This is a long non-coding RNA of Leptidea sinapis, 2066 nucleotides long. RefSeq lists it as uncharacterized. The transcript is spliced from 2 exons. The record is from RefSeq and is a predicted model, not a curated record. NCBI's taxonomy places the organism in Eukaryota, Metazoa, Arthropoda, Insecta, Lepidoptera, Pieridae.
GUGUAGAUAAAGUCUUGUAUGCAACUGUUGAUAAUUAGGUAUUAAAACACUCAUGUGAAACCAUCAUCGCCCACAUUCGUGUUUUAAUACCCCUGAUAACACAACAGUUGUAUAAAUAACUAUUACUUCAUCAGAAGUUUUUAGUACAAUUUGUAUGACGAAAAAUUGUUUUAAUAUAAUUAUUAUUUUAUCACGGGUGCAUUUAAAAUAUCGAUUACCAUGCCCAGUUAUUGACAUUUAUAACUGAAUCCUGACAAGCCUCGUGGUGACAAGUGGGACUAUUGCUGGCACUGCUAAAUAAGUAUUAGGAAAAUUAUUCAGUGUUUCGUUAUUAAAUAAAAAAAAAUAACUGACGUUCACUUUAAUCUUUACUAUUCGGUGGAUGAGGUAUAUGUUUGUUUAAUUGGCACUUAAGUUAACAAUAUGAUAAAUUUUUCAAAAAAUGACUGAAUUUAAUUGGAUAACAAAGUAAUUAACUAGGUAAUUCUCAUUCACGAUACAAAAUAACUUGUUUUGCAGAAAUUACUGGAAAUUAAAGAGAAAUUUUUACUUACUAUAUUUUUUAUACAAUACAAUUUUAAAUAUAUUAUUGUAUAAAUAAUAGUUUAAUUUAUGGAUUACGCUGCUAUAGAAGUCCCAUUGUAAAUUUUAAUAUCAAUUAGAUACAAUUGAAAAACUAUUGAAUUUAAAAUAAUACAACCAUUAAGUUUCAGUCCUUAUUUUUGAAUGUUAAUUAAAUAUUGGUUAUUAAAAUACCCAAUAGAAAAUGAUGUACAUAUAAAUAUAAUCAUAGAAUUAGAAGAAAUUAAAUAUAUUAUUGUUAUUAAUUAAAUUUGUUAAAAAGAAUGUUUAAUAAACGAAUCUGUCCGGAAUAAAUUGUAACUAGUCAUUAAUUUUUAUUUUAAUAAUAUUACAUGAUAUAUUAUUGUAAUGCAAAUAAUUCUAUUACUAUUGAAUGUGUGAUAGCAUAAAAUGGAAAAAAAUAUACAUAACUAUAACUGUACAUAAUAUUAAUAAAUAUUAAUAGAAGUGGGAUAUAUAAUUUGUUAUUUUUAAGUGACUUCCUUUACUUCUGGGAUUAAAUACACAAGUUUUUGUGAAUUGAUCGCAAAUAUUUGCCUAUCUGUGGAUCGACCUCCAAUCCGCGUCGCAAUAACGAAAUGGUACAUUACGAUACAAGUGCGCAAAGUAGGUCGUUCCCGCACGAGCGUAGCGAGUGCAGGAUGAAAUACAUGCGCACGAGUAUCGUUUACUAUUUUUAAUAUUAAGUUACGCAAAGUUCGACCACUAUAAUUAUUUUCAAACAUUCCUGCACGCCCAACACAUUCCCGCACACUCAGCUACUUUCCCGCACUACUCUUGUCAACGUGUGGGAAAGUAGUACUUUGCAAAUGCAAAUGCAUGCGCAAAAUCGAACUUUGCGCACGGUAAUAGGAAAAGAUUCAAAUCAUCAUUGGGCUAUCUGUAGAUAUCCUUUAUCUCUUUAGACGUUCCGUUUAUAUCGUUUAUUUGUAACAGUUCAUUUUAAAAAUUAGCCCUACACGAGUGGGAUUAUUUCGGUAUUUCGGUAACUACUUUUUACUUCGAUGCAUUUAUUGGUCUCUGGAAAUUUAAUAUAGAUUAUAUUUUUAUCAAUUUAUAAUCGAUAAAUUCGAAAUUAUUUGCAGUGACAGUGAGCGAAAAUAUUAAAGGCACGGGAUCAUUGUAUCCAUAAAUUUUUGUAUAUAAAUUAGUUGUUGGAAAAUAUCGUUGUUUUUUGAUGAAAUAGAGUUAUUGUUUGUUAAAUAAUGUUUUAGUGCAUAGCAUUCAUAUAGACUGGCUGGAUUUUAAUAAAGUUUAUGUGAAAUAGAAACUCGGAGGAAAGUCAAUAUACGACGCUUCGAAGUCGAUUUGAUUGCAUGGGUUCAUUCUAUAGAAGGCUUCUACACAUCUAUUGUACAUUGAGUUAUAGCAAACUUUCUCUAUUUGACCAGCCCUAUAUCUGUUUUGAUGUCAAUUGGAGUCCUUAAUGUUCGGGACGUCAUUGUUAUAAUAAAAUUGAGGUUUAAUAAACGUGAUUAUUACAA